GACGAACGCUGGCGGCGUGCCUAACACAUGCAAGUCAGGGAGAAAAGGGUAGCAAUAUCCUGAGUAAACCGGCGAACGGGUGAGUAACACGUAGGCAACUUACCUUGUGAACGGGAAUAACCCCGGGAAACCGGGGCUAAUACCCGAUGUUAUUCCGUUGUAACAUUGCAAUGGAAUAAAAAGCCCGCAAGGGCGUCACAAGAUAGGCCUGCGUCCCAUUAGAUAGUUGGCGGGGUAACAGCCCACCAAGUCGACGAGU
This 259-nucleotide ribosomal RNA is filed under the name uncultured bacterium. RNAcentral describes it as "partial 16S ribosomal RNA". It matches the Rfam family "Bacterial small subunit ribosomal RNA", at positions 28 to 281 of the family's 1533-position model. The record is from RNAcentral.